RNAcentral lists this long non-coding RNA (394 nucleotides) under Cricetulus griseus (Chinese hamster). RNAcentral's name for it is "lncRNA (ENSCGRG00015031590.1)". Lineage: Eukaryota; Metazoa; Chordata; Mammalia; Rodentia; Cricetidae. The record is from RNAcentral.
CUUGGACAUAGCCUUUAGCACAGUGCCCGGGCCAGAGGACUGUGAAUGAAGCAAUUUCCUAGAUGGGCAAUGAGCACGGACCCAGAGCCAUGCCUUCUCCAAGAAUGCAAGGGGCAAUGUCACCAAGCAUAGAAGCUGGCUUCUCUCCUUUGUUUAAGGCUCUUGGCCAAAACAUCACAGAGGAAAUCCCCAGUUGCAGGAAAGUCAAGCGUGUUCCUGCGCAGCUGGGCUGAUCACACACGUGGUUAUGACACCGCUCGCUCCCCAAGCACAUUUUCCACCAUCUGUAACAGGCAAGUGCUGGCUCGGGAGGCAGGUUCUUCCUGCUCACUCAGGAGUCUCCACUAGCAAGAGACAGAGCUAUGGCCUAUGAAACCACAACCUUUCCCCUUCC